AUCCGCCUGACGCGUCCCAACUAGAACGAAAUGCGUGUCCUGGAU
Molecule: non-coding RNA, 45 nt
Organism: Schistosoma mansoni
Lineage: Eukaryota; Metazoa; Platyhelminthes; Trematoda; Strigeidida; Schistosomatidae
Source: Rfam